UACGUAGGUGGCAAGCGUUGUCCGGAUUUAUUGGGUUUAAAGGGUGCGUAGGCGGCCUUAUAAGUCAGUGGUGAAAUACUCCAGCUUAACUGGAGGGGUGCCAUUGAUACUGCAAGGCUUGAGUGGAGUCGAGGUAGGCGGAAUUGACGGUGUAGCGGUGAAAUGCUUAGAUAUCGUCAAGAACACCGAUAGUGUGGACAGCUUACUAGGCUCAUACUGACGCUGAGGCACGAAAGUGUGGGGAUCAAACAGG
Molecule: ribosomal RNA, 253 nt
Filed under: uncultured bacterium
Lineage: Bacteria
Description: partial 16S ribosomal RNA
Rfam family: Bacterial small subunit ribosomal RNA
Source: RNAcentral